Molecule: ribosomal RNA, 568 nt
Filed under: uncultured bacterium
Lineage: Bacteria
Description: partial 16S ribosomal RNA
Rfam family: Bacterial small subunit ribosomal RNA
Source: RNAcentral
UGGGGAAUUUUGGACAAUGGGCGAAAGCCUGAUCCAGCAAUGCCGCGUGUGUGAAGAAGGCCUUCGGGUUGUAAAGCACUUUUGUCCGGAAAGAAAUCCUUGGCUCUAAUACAGUCGGGGGAUGACGGUACCGGAAGAAUAAGCACCGGCUAACUACGUGCCAGCAGCCGCGGUAAUACGUAGGGUGCAAGCGUUAAUCGGAAUUACUGGGCGUAAAGCGUGCGCAGGCGGUUUGCUAAGACCGAUGUGAAAUCCCCGGGCUCAACCUGGGAACUGCAUUGGUGACUGGCAGGCUAGAGUAUGGCAGAGGGGGGUAGAAUUCCACGUGUAGCAGUGAAAUGCGUAGAGAUGUGGAGGAAUACCGAUGGCGAAGGCAGCCCCCUGGGCCAAUACUGACGCUCAUGCACGAAAGCGUGGGGAGCAAAACAGGAUUAGAUACCCUGGUAGUCCACGCCCUAAAACGAUGUCAACUAGUUGUUGGGGAUUCAUUUCCUUAGUAACGUAGCUAACGCGUGAAGUUGACCGCCUGGGGAGUACGGUCGCAAGAUUAAAACUUAAAGGAAUUGAC